RNAcentral lists this ribosomal RNA (388 nucleotides) under Salmonella enterica. Its description in RNAcentral is "partial 23S ribosomal RNA". It matches the Rfam family "Bacterial large subunit ribosomal RNA", at positions 2415 to 2802 of the family's 2925-position model. Lineage: Bacteria; Pseudomonadati; Pseudomonadota; Gammaproteobacteria; Enterobacterales; Enterobacteriaceae. The record is from RNAcentral. RNAcentral also lists the same sequence under 2 other names.
GUGAUCCGGUGGUUCUGAAUGGAAGGGCCAUCGCUCAACGGAUAAAAGGUACUCCGGGGAUAACAGGCUGAUACCGCCCAAGAGUUCAUAUCGACGGCGGUGUUUGGCACCUCGAUGUCGGCUCAUCACAUCCUGGGGCUGAAGUAGGUCCCAAGGGUAUGGCUGUUCGCCAUUUAAAGUGGUACGCGAGCUGGGUUUAGAACGUCGUGAGACAGUUCGGUCCCUAUCUGCCGUGGGCGCUGGAGAACUGAGGGGGGCUGCUCCUAGUACGAGAGGACCGGAGUGGACGCAUCACUGGUGUUCGGGUUGUCAUGCCAAUGGCACUGCCCGGUAGCUAAAUGCGGAAGAGAUAAGUGCUGAAAGCAUCUAAGCACGAAACUUGCCCCGA